GCUAAUGCGUUCACAGUAAGGCCUUGUUCACCCAAAAAACCAAAAACUUUUUAAAAUUUCUUGUUAUAUCGAAUUUUCCAGCACAUGUAUAGACCAUUAAAUAUAGACGAAGACAAAACUAAUUGCACAAUUUAUCUGUAAAUCGCGAGAUGAAUCUUUUGAGCCUAGUUAGUCUAUAAUUGAAUAAUAUUUGCUAAAUAAAAACAAAAAUACUACAGUACCCAAAACUAAAAAAAUUUCAGAACUAAAUAAGACCUAACACGAAAUGUUUGUGUACGUACACUACUAAUAAGUUCAACAGAUUCAAAGAUCGACCCACC
This 320-nucleotide long non-coding RNA is filed under the name Sorghum bicolor (sorghum). RNAcentral describes it as "long non-coding RNA (SBIC_LNC015211)". The record is from RNAcentral. Lineage: Eukaryota; Viridiplantae; Streptophyta; Magnoliopsida; Poales; Poaceae.